GCUAGCAUGGGAAAAGUUCUUCAC
This 24-nucleotide non-coding RNA is filed under the name Mus musculus (house mouse). The record is from RNAcentral. Lineage: Eukaryota; Metazoa; Chordata; Mammalia; Rodentia; Muridae.